Molecule: ribosomal RNA, 468 nt
Filed under: uncultured bacterium
Lineage: Bacteria
Description: partial 16S ribosomal RNA
Rfam family: Bacterial small subunit ribosomal RNA
Source: RNAcentral
GACGAACGCUGGCGGCGUGCUUAACACAUGCAAGUCGAACGGAAAGGCCCUGCUUUUGUGGGGUGCUCGAGUGGCGAACGGGUGAGUAACACGUGAGUAACCUGCCCUUGACUUUGGGAUAACUUCAGGAAACUGGGGCUAAUACCGGGUAGGAGCUCCUGCUGCAUGGUGGGGGUUGGAAAGUGUCGGCGGUUGGGGAUGGACUCGCGGCUUAUCAGCUUGUUGGUGGGGUAGUGGCUUACCAAGGCUUUGACGGGUAGCCGGCCUGAGAGGGUGACCGGCCACAUUGCGCCUGGGGUACGGCCCAGACUGCUACGGGAGACAGCAGUGGGGAAUAUUCCACAACGGCCGGAGAUCUGAUGCAGCAACGCUGCGUGCGUGGUGACGGCCUUCGGUUUGUAAACCGCUUUCGUCUGUGACGAAGCGUGGGUGACCGUAAUGCGUAAAUAAGCACCGGCUCACUACGUG